CCUAUGGGUGGCAGCAGUGGGGAAUAUUGGGCAAUGGGCGCAAGCCUGACCCAGCAACGCCGCGUGAAGGAAGAAGGCUUUCGGGUUGUAAACUUCUUUUCUGAGGGACGAAGAAAGUGACGGUACCUCAGGAAUACGCCACGGCUAACUACGUGCCAGCAGCCGCGGUAAUACGUAGGUGGCAAGCGUUAUCCGGAUUUGUGGGGUGUAAAGGGCGUGUAGGCGGGAAAGGAAGUCAGAUGUGAAAACUCAGGGCUCAACCCUGAGCCUGCAGUUGAAACUGUUUUUCUUGAGUGCUGGGGAGGCAAUCGGAAUUCCGGGUGUAGCGGUGAAAUGCGUAGAUAUACGGAGGAACACCAGUGGCGAAGGCGGAUUGCUGGACAGUAACUGACGCUGAGGCGCGAAAGCGUGGGGAGCAAACAGGAUUAGAUACCCGAGUAGUC
This 443-nucleotide ribosomal RNA is filed under the name uncultured bacterium. RNAcentral describes it as "partial 16S ribosomal RNA". It matches the Rfam family "Bacterial small subunit ribosomal RNA", at positions 338 to 795 of the family's 1533-position model. The record is from RNAcentral.